Molecule: long non-coding RNA, 469 nt
Organism: Ostrea edulis (European flat oyster)
Lineage: Eukaryota; Metazoa; Mollusca; Bivalvia; Ostreida; Ostreidae
Exons: 2
Source: RefSeq, a predicted model, not a curated record
AGCAUCGAACAACGCAGCUGGAGGCACCUAGACUCCCCCUUCCCUUUUCUCCCUUUCAGGGUAAGGAUUAGUAAUGAAGAAAGACGGAACAAAGAUCAAAGGCAAAAAUUAACUCUACCUGGAAAUUGAACAUGGAAAAGUUAUAUGGGCAAUUUAGGGAAAUUCUAAAUAACUUUGAAUUGCAGUACUGUUGUAUAUUUCAAGGCAGAAAUGCAACGGUGGUAAUUUUACUGGGUAAGCCAUCUACUAAAUGAUUGGCUUUACUUUCUUGUGUGGCCAAUUCUAUGCUUUAGUUGUUACCAGAAGUACACAAAAACCUCCCAAGAGUCAUCAUUUCCCCAGAAGCCAAAUCUAUCUUCAUCUCUUUCUAUGAUUACGAGAGCUUGGGUGAAGAUUGGAGCACCGAAUCGCCCCCUCCAACAACGGUUUCCACAUAUUAAAAAAGCAGAUUUUUGCUAAUGAGUUGAAA